CAUGUACUCCCUCCGUUCCAAAUUACUCGUCGUAGAAAUAGAUGUACCUAGAACUAAAAUACAUCUAGAUACAUCCAUAUCUACGACAAGUAAUUCGGAAUGGAGGGAGUAGCAU
Non-coding RNA from Triticum aestivum (bread wheat), 115 nucleotides. The record is from Rfam. Lineage: Eukaryota; Viridiplantae; Streptophyta; Magnoliopsida; Poales; Poaceae.